Long non-coding RNA from Calidris pugnax (ruff), 668 nucleotides. RefSeq lists it as uncharacterized. NCBI's taxonomy places the organism in Eukaryota, Metazoa, Chordata, Aves, Charadriiformes, Scolopacidae. The transcript is spliced from 2 exons. The record is from RefSeq and is a predicted model, not a curated record.
UGCCCCACGUCUCAUCUCAGUCUCCCCUCUUUUAGGUUAAACGUUUCCCCCUCCUCAAAGGGCCUUCAGAAAGGAUGACCUUCAAUUCUAGCAAAGAGCAAAUCCAAUUAAAAACACAAAUUUAACACUGGCAGUUGGGAUGUUGGUGUUUGGGAGCUAAUGUUGGGAGGAGAGAGCUGCCAGGUUUAACACACGUCCUUCUGUCUUCCAGGGUCUAUGACACCUCUUCUUUGUCACCGACGGUCAGAGCUCUCAGUACCAUCAGACACAACAACAACACGGGGCGCUGGCUGACGCGGUUCCAGGCGGUGUGGGACCCCCGGCGGGAGGAUUGCUUCGUGGUGGGCAGCCUGGCACGGCCCCGCCAGGUCGAGCUCUUCCGGGACACGGGGGAGCUGCUGCACGCCUUCUCCAGCCCCGACUGCCUCGGCUCCGUCUGCUCCAUCAACGUGCUCCAUCCCACCAAGAACAUCCUGGUGGGCGGCAACUCCAGCGGCCGCCUUCACGUGUUCAAAGAAGAAUAAAAGUGGCUCAGAGAGAGAUUUUUUUUUUUUUUUUUUUGCCUUUUUGCAUUAAAUUUGUUGAAUCUCUAUGAAGCUGUUUCUAAGCGAACUGCAUUUUCUCAGGACAAGAGUAUAUUUUAAAACCUUUAAAAUAAAUCUUCUAAA